GGGCCUGCACAAGCGGUGGAGUAUGUGGCUUAAUUCGAUGCAACGCGAAGAACCUUACCUGGCCUUGACAUGCAUCUCUAAGCGUGUGAAAGCACGUGACCCCUCGGGGAAUUUGCACAGGUGCUGCAUGGCUGUCGUCAGCUCGUGUCGUGAGAUGUUGGGUUAAGUCCCGCAACGAGCGCAACCCUUGUGUCCUGUUGCCACUUCCGCUAGCGCGGAAAGCACUCUGGACAGACUGCCUCGUCUCAACGAGGAGGAAGGUGGGGAUGACGUCAAGUCAGUAUGGCCCUUACGGCCAGGGCUGCACACGUACUACAAUGCCUGGUACAAUGGGAAGCAAUACCGUGAGGUGGAGCAAAUCCUCAAAACCAGGCCCAGUUCGGAUUGAGGUCUGCAACUCGACCUCAUG
Molecule: ribosomal RNA, 409 nt
Filed under: uncultured bacterium
Lineage: Bacteria
Description: bacterial SSU rRNA
Rfam family: Bacterial small subunit ribosomal RNA
Source: RNAcentral